GUCCAAAGUAGCCUAGUGGACAUGGCAUCUGCCCGGUAAGCGGAACACUGUGGGUUCGAUUCCCAUCCCUGGACA
Molecule: transfer RNA, 75 nt
Filed under: Cordylochernes scorpioides
Lineage: Eukaryota; Metazoa; Arthropoda; Arachnida; Pseudoscorpiones; Chernetidae
Description: tRNA-Thr
Rfam family: tRNA
About the family: Transfer RNA (tRNA) molecules are approximately 80 nucleotides in length. Their secondary structure includes four short double-helical elements and three loops (D, anti-codon, and T loops). Further hydrogen bonds mediate the characteristic L-shaped molecular structure. tRNAs have two regions of fundamental functional importance: the anti-codon, which is responsible for specific mRNA codon recognition, and the 3' end, to which the tRNAs corresponding amino acid is attached (by aminoacyl-tRNA synthetases). tRNAs cope with the degeneracy of the genetic code in two manners: having more than one tRNA (with a specific anti-codon) for a particular amino acid; and 'wobble' base-pairing, i.e. permitting non-standard base-pairing at the 3rd anti-codon position.
Source: RNAcentral